UCCAAAUGCAGAUGUACCCUGAAUGCUGAGGGAAGGUUUGUGGCUGGAAGGAGCUAGAACAGCAGAAGGUACAGGAGAACAUAACUUCUGGACUGCCCUGUGCUUGAAGGCAUCUGAAAGACAAAAGCCUGGUCUGGAAAUGGUGAUUAACUUCUGACAGACUCAGUGACCUGGGAUAGAGGAGAAUAACUUUGAAGAACGGCAGUUUGCCACUACAUGGCCAAGGAAAUCCUUGCUGCUUUGGGGCCAGCUGUGGUCCUCUUCACUCUGAAUGGUGGUAGAGAGAGAUGGUUACCAUCCUUCCCCCUGGCUGGAGGAUUUGGCCAGGUCUCCACAGGCGUACCAGAUACCUAACUCCAGAGUUAUCAGGGGAUCAGCAUCAGCCUGGAAAAGGGAGAGGAAGUUGAAAUAAGAGGCUCCUGUCUCUGGCAGCCAUGGUGCUCAUUCCUUCACUGCCUGUGUCACCUACCCUAUGUGACACUACUGACCUCCCACUGGAGGACACACUGGUGGUAAAAGUCCUGCACAAAAAUCCAUCAUGUCCAUGUUGUGGGAACCAGACAGGAUGGAUCCUGGGACUGACUGAACAUCUCAAGAGUUAGAAUGAGAAGAGAAAGUUUGUGUUUUUGUGCCAAAUGAGGAAAGCCAAAGGUAAAUCAUUGACAGAAUUGCUUGACAUGUCCCAUGGUACAAAGGGAUUCAGAAAAGAUUCCUGCUGAGGGAUGGAUUUGUUAGAUAUGUGGAAAAUGAUUCAAAAUUAAAAUCAUCCUGGAGCAACACAAAAAGCUGGCCCACCCAGUUGUCACGAAUAUUGAGUGGAUCACUGCUUCCCACCCCAAAUAAAGAUCUGCACAAGAGGCACGUUGAACCAAGGAGGAAAAUCUGAAUGGGCAGUAUGGGGGGAGAAAAACCUUAAACACGUUGAUUGGAGAGUAUAUUCUGUCAAAAAACAUGAAACAGAUAAGAGGUAAAAAAAAAAAAAAAAAAAGUAUUAUAUAAGAGCCCAGUGAAAAAAAAGAGGGACCUGGAAUGGGAAACAUGUUGCUGCCACUGAAUUGCAUGCAGAAAGGGAAUUGAAAUCCCACAAUGGAAGAGUUACCCAGACUGGUUACCCCCUGUAAAGCUGCCUCACAGGACCUUUGAGAGAAUGAUCAUCUGCAUUUGCUAACAAGUUGCAUAGCACUAUAACAUCUUGCUUGUAUUGUAUUUUUACUGUAACGCUUUCUACUUAAUACUUGAAACACAUUAUCCAUAGUGGGUUAGCUAGAGAUGUCCUGCCCAACAUUGUGUAAAAUGCUCCACUCUGGGUUCAUUGGCCAUCACAAGCCAGUUUCCAUUAGGGGCUGGUGGCAUAUAGGGAUGCUAAGUGGCUCUUAAGCAUAGUGUAACAUCUGUAACAUGAAUUUGAGGCAUAAACCACUUUUUUUUUUACUAAAAUGAAUGGGCCACCUAUACUUAAUUCGGAAAAAGAAUGUGUGUAAAUUAUGUGUUUUGUAAAUAGCACAAGGAUAAAUAUUCAGGUCCCUCAUGAGAGACUCUCCUCAAGCAUACAGCAGGGACAGGAUGAACUGAUGUAUUCUGCAGGUGCUUGUGCACUGACAGAGGUGGAUGAAGUAAAACCCCUGUCCUCAAAGGCGAAAAUCGAGUGGAAGGAAGGAAUUUGUCAGAGAUAGUCUCCAUAUGAGCUCAUCAGGCUGAGUCCUGCCUCAUCCCACCUUGUAAUAACCACCAAGGUGGGAGG
Long non-coding RNA from Oenanthe melanoleuca, 1741 nucleotides. RefSeq lists it as uncharacterized. The transcript is spliced from 3 exons. The record is from RefSeq and is a predicted model, not a curated record. Lineage: Eukaryota; Metazoa; Chordata; Aves; Passeriformes; Muscicapidae.